UCGAAAAAGAAGGAGAGAGGAGACAAAUAAAAAGAUUUCAAAUAAAAACGAAACGAUCACUUUUUGGGACGUUGAUGCACGAAAUAAAAUCACAAAAAUGUAGUCAUCGUCAUGUCAACUUUAUUGUCGCAGCAUGCUCUCCACUCCAUGCUGUUUGUCAGGUAAAGACUAGGAAUAAAAAUGAGAUGACUAUGGGAGCUUAAAUUGAAGAGUUAAACUUGUUCAAAAUUUGGGGCCUGAGCCAGCCAUCGUUACAGCAAAGUUUUCCUUGUGCUGGACCUCCAGUCAUACGAUUUGACUUUUGACCUCCUGCCAUCAGCAACAAUCACAGUAUCAUCACUUAGAUAAACAGCAUCCGGUUUAAUUGGAGAAACUACCAGUAUCGACCGA
Molecule: long non-coding RNA, 390 nt
Organism: Daphnia pulex (common water flea)
Lineage: Eukaryota; Metazoa; Arthropoda; Branchiopoda; Diplostraca; Daphniidae
Exons: 3
Source: RefSeq, a predicted model, not a curated record